GAGGCUUGGAGACCGGCGACAAGGGUGUGUCCAAGCUCAGCUGGGAAUGGAAGUUGCUUUGCGAUUCUUUAAAAUCUUGAGGCCAUGGCAUUGGGGAUAGUGCAGGAAGAAUAUCACAAAACUUUGAUGUAAGAAAUGGAAAGUGUGCUUUGAGAAGACUGUGUUGGAAUGCUUGACUGCAUGAAAAUAUCAAGGGGCUCUUCCAUAAAGGGUAGCAGAGAAUUCACUUU
Molecule: long non-coding RNA, 230 nt
Organism: Lemur catta (Ring-tailed lemur)
Lineage: Eukaryota; Metazoa; Chordata; Mammalia; Primates; Lemuridae
Exons: 3
Source: RefSeq, a predicted model, not a curated record